UGGGGAAUUUUGGACAAUGGGCGAAAGCCUGAUCCAGCAAUGCCGCGUGUGUGAAGAAGGCCUUCGGGUUGUAAAGCACUUUUGUCCGGAAAGAAAUCCUUGGCUCUAAUACAGUCGGGGGAUGACGGUACCGGAAGAAUAAGCACCGGCUAACUACGUGCCAGCAGCCGCGGUAAUACGUAGGGUGCAAGCGUUAAUCGGAAUUACUGGGCGUAAAGCGUGCGCAGGCGGUUUGCUAAGACCGAUGUGAAAUCCCCGGGCUCAACCUGGGAACUGCAUUGGUGACUGGCAGGCUAGAGUAUGGCAGAGGGGGGUAGAAUUCCACGUGUAGCAGUGAAAUGCGUAGAGAUGUGGAGGAAUACCGAUGGCGAAGGCAGCCCCCUGGGCCAAUACUGACGCUCAUGCACGAAAGCGUGGGGAGCAAACAGGAUUAGAUACCCUGGUAGUCCACGCCCUAAACGAUGUCAACUAGUUGUUGGGGAUUCAUUUCCUUAGUAACGUAGCUAACGCGUGAAGUUGACCGCCUGGGGAGUACGUCGCAAGAUUAAACUCAAAUGAAUUGACGGGGUCAUAGCUG
RNAcentral lists this ribosomal RNA (577 nucleotides) under uncultured bacterium. RNAcentral's name for it is "partial 16S ribosomal RNA". It matches the Rfam family "Bacterial small subunit ribosomal RNA", at positions 355 to 932 of the family's 1533-position model. The record is from RNAcentral.